RNAcentral lists this unclassified non-coding RNA (584 nucleotides) under Zea mays. RNAcentral's name for it is "misc RNA Zm00001eb407880". The record is from RNAcentral. Lineage: Eukaryota; Viridiplantae; Streptophyta; Magnoliopsida; Poales; Poaceae.
UCCAGCGCGGACAGCGGCGCCCCUGCACGCACACCAUGUCAUGUUGUCAUGUCCGUCGCGCUCGCUCGCAGCUGACCAACGAGACGAAUGAUUGCAAAAGCAGCAGUAAUCAAUUGCUAUUAUCACAGCCUGGGCCCCGCCGCCUACUCCGGCCGGCCUGCAGUGAAUGCGCCAGCCGCCGAUACGGAUGGAAGCAUGGAGCAGGCAGGCGAAGGCGAAGGCGAAGAACUCUCGGCUUCUUCGCUGCUGCUUUACGCCAGGCAGUGACAGGAGGAUCAGAGGCACCAGCAACUCGACCUGCAACUCUCUCAGAUGCCGAUUCAGAGAAUUCGGCGACUCUCUUUCUUGUACGCCUCCUCAGUCCUCCUCCCUAUAUGUGGCUGCUAGUUACUUACUGCUUGCUACCGGCAAUGGCGGCUGGCUGGUUGCAAAGCCAAGAGCUACAGACAAACUAGUGAAAGCUCUCCCACCCGUCGUCAGAGCAAAAGGCUGCCUGCCUGACCAUCUUUUUUCACCCAUCAAAGAAAUGCACAGGAAUGUAGUAGUAGUAGUAUACAGUACCUCUCUGGUACCUGAGGGUGGAU